UACGGGGGGGGCAAGCGUUGUUCGGAAUUACUGGGCGUAAAGGGCUCGUAGGCGGCCAACUAAGUCAGACGUGAAAUCCCUCGGCUUAACCGGGGAACUGCGUCUGAUACUGGAUGGCUUGAGUUUGGGAGAGGGAUGCGGAAUUCCAGGUGUAGCGGUGAAAUGCGUAGAUAUCUGGAGGAACACCGGUGGCGAAGGCGGCAUCCUGGACCAGCACUGACACUGAGGCACGAAAGCGUGGGGAGCAGACAGG
Molecule: ribosomal RNA, 253 nt
Filed under: uncultured bacterium
Lineage: Bacteria
Description: partial 16S ribosomal RNA
Rfam family: Bacterial small subunit ribosomal RNA
Source: RNAcentral